RNAcentral lists this ribosomal RNA (475 nucleotides) under Flavobacterium sp. DB4.3-8. Its description in RNAcentral is "bacterial SSU rRNA". It matches the Rfam family "Bacterial small subunit ribosomal RNA", at positions 13 to 489 of the family's 1533-position model. The record is from RNAcentral. Lineage: Bacteria; Pseudomonadati; Bacteroidota; Flavobacteriia; Flavobacteriales; Flavobacteriaceae.
UUGAUCCUGGCUCAGGAUGAACGCUAGCGGCAGGCUUAACACAUGCAAGUCGAGGGGUAUUGGUUUUCGGACCAAGAGACCGGCGCACGGGUGCGUAACGCGUAUGCAAUCUACCUUUCACAGAGGGAUAGCCCAGAGAAAUUUGGAUUAAUACCUCAUAGUAUUAUAGAGUGGCAUCACUCUAUAAUUAAAGUCACAACGGUGAAAGAUGAGCAUGCGUCCCAUUAGCUAGUUGGUAAGGUAACGGCUUACCAAGGCUACGAUGGGUAGGGGUCCUGAGAGGGAGAUCCCCCACACUGGUACUGAGACACGGACCAGACUCCUACGGGAGGCAGCAGUGAGGAAUAUUGGACAAUGGGCGCAAGCCUGAUCCAGCCAUGCCGCGUGCAGGAUGACGGUCCUAUGGAUUGUAAACUGCUUUUGUACAGGAAGAAACAGUUCUACGUGUAGAACCUUGACGGUACUGUAAGAAUAA